Molecule: ribosomal RNA, 270 nt
Filed under: uncultured archaeon
Lineage: Archaea
Description: partial 16S ribosomal RNA
Rfam family: Archaeal small subunit ribosomal RNA
Source: RNAcentral
CUGCAGCCCGAGUGGUGAUCGAUUUUAUUGAGCCUAAAGCGUCCGUAGCCGGACUAGUAAACCCUUGGGUAAAUUGGGCAGCUUAACUGUCCAAAUUCCGAGGGGACUGCUAGUCUUGGGACCGGGAGAGGUCAGAGGUACUCCAGGGGUAGGGGCUAAAUCCUGUAAUCCUUUGGGGACCACCAGUGGCGAAGGCGUCUGACUAGAACGGAUCCGACGGUAAGGGACGAAACCCUGGGGCGCGAACCGGAUUAGAUACCCGAGUAGUCC